UACGAAGGGGGCUAGCGUUGCUCGGAAUGACUGGGCGUAAAGGGCGCGUAGGCGGAUGGUACAGUCAGAUGUGAAAUUCCCGGGCUUAACCUGGGGUCUGCAUUUGAUACGUAUUGUCUUGAGUUCGGAAGAGGGUCGUGGAAUUUCCAGUGUAGAGGUGAAAUUCGUAGAUAUUGGAAAGAACACCGGUGGCGAAGGCGGCGACCUGGUCCGACACUGACGCUGAGGCGCGAAAGCGUGGGGAGCAAACAGG
RNAcentral lists this ribosomal RNA (253 nucleotides) under uncultured bacterium. Its description in RNAcentral is "partial 16S ribosomal RNA". It matches the Rfam family "Bacterial small subunit ribosomal RNA", at positions 524 to 776 of the family's 1533-position model. The record is from RNAcentral.